RNAcentral lists this long non-coding RNA (262 nucleotides) under Elaeis guineensis (African oil palm). RNAcentral's name for it is "long non-coding RNA (EGUI_LNC082350)". The record is from RNAcentral. Lineage: Eukaryota; Viridiplantae; Streptophyta; Magnoliopsida; Arecales; Arecaceae.
AGGUAUAAUCAUAUCGAUAUCUUUGAAGAGUUUCAAGCAAUCGAUCGAUGGAAGCUAAGUAUACUGUAGAUAUGUAGGAUGCAUUCUGAUUCUAAUAUUAGUCGCAGAAUUGGAUGUAAUGCCAUUAGAUACCAUGAUACUAUACUGUAAAGACAAUGGCACCAUAGCCCUUGCUAAGGAGCCUAGGUCUCACCAAAUAUCCAAGCACAUAGAGCAGCAGAACACGCGACUAUCUCAAGUAGAAAUACAUAGAGGUGCAGAG